Long non-coding RNA from Betta splendens (Siamese fighting fish), 6699 nucleotides. RefSeq lists it as uncharacterized. Lineage: Eukaryota; Metazoa; Chordata; Actinopteri; Anabantiformes; Osphronemidae. The record is from RefSeq and is a predicted model, not a curated record. The transcript has 12 exons.
UUUUAACCUAAUCCUCGUCUGAGCUGCGUUUUUGUUGCUGGCAGUUUCUUGCAGCCUUGUCAACCUAGCUGCUAGCUUACUGGUAGCUAAGGCUACAUGCUAACGGGGUGCUUUGGAUUUUAUUGAUUGGGACAUGUAACAGGAUCCUCAUCAUCUCGCGCCUCCUGACGUCCAGUUGACGUAACUCAACUUUCAGACAACUUUCCUGAAUGACUGAGAAUCUUCACCCGCCAAAACAUGCAAUGUCACAUUCCACAUGUUUCCUGCUGAGACAAAGACGCAGCUCUUCUACCAGGGCCUAGAUAACUCCACCUGACACCUGACACCGAGCAUGAGCUCCCACCGGGAGACUCGGAGCUCCUGUGACUGUGAAGUCUGACUGGGCGCUGGAGUGGCCUUGGGCACUGACAGAAGCCAUGGGGAAACAGUUGGGGGAGCCUGAAGGGCUACAGGCCCAUGAGCAUCAGCGGUCUACAAUUUCAAAGGAUCUCUCGGUAGCCAUGGAAACUGGAGAAAACUCUUCAUCAUGAAAAGCUCACAUUUCUUGAUAACAUCUUGACUCAACCAAUCAUCUGAGAUGCACACGAGACAGGAAAGCUGAAGGAAAGAACAACCAGUCACGGUUCUGACCAUGAGACCAAAUGAAGGCAGACUCCUCUGGGCUUGCGGGGCCCCGAGGAGAGCGGAGAUGGAGUCAAAUGGAAAGGACAAGGGCACAUAAUAAAGACAAAUGGCUCGAGCAUGAAAUUUGAUUCAUUGCCUUGGCUGUGCCGUGUGAACGCAGGAUGAAGUCCGAGCAGCUCAACGAGUAACGAGGCCAACAGGAACGAGGCCACGUGGGAAAGCGCCCGCUCCUCCCUCAGGCGCGAAGUGAACUGACGAGCAGGUGCAUUCAUCAGGACGUCGCAGAUGUGCUGCCUGACGACGAACAGUAGACGCUGACUCUUCACGCUUGAUGACGUUUCCCUCCAUGAUGUGCUGACAACCUCCUCCACUGUCCGAGAAAAAUAGCGAUGGCAGACCUGUACAAGGCCUCUCAUCCCGCCGCCAAGCGAACAUCCGGAUACUGUACAGCAGCUCCAUAAUAUGGUGUCAAGCACAAGUGCUGCUGUCUGGUGUGCGCCGCUUCAUCCUCCCCUUGGGGAUGCUUCUAAGGAGAGUACACAGCAAUUAUCCACGGACGGCGAAGUGAAAGGAGGAGCGCGGAGCGGCACGGUGACAACAACAGCAUUGGGGAACGCAUUCAUCAUACUUUCACCUCAUUAUGCAUAGUUAUCCAUCCAUUACGGUACUUAUCCCGAGCAGGCCUGUAGUAACACCGGAGCACGGUGGCCCCAGGUUGCCUCCUUAACGUGAGGGUCUCACAGUGACCUGAGACCGUUUAGCGUUCACCUGUUCAGCCGAAGGCGCUCGCGUCACGUGAGCAGCCACCGUCCUCUCUACGAAAGGCUCGAUAGAGAAACAGGAAGAAACAUAUAUCGGGUCUGAUCAGUGAUGUCUAGAAAAAACCCCACACCUUAAGUUUGACUUUUUGAUGAGUGGCCUGCUUCAGCUUGUGCUUCAUUUUGGCUACUUGCUGUACUUUUGGUGAGUUUCGGGUCUUCCACACCUCGUUACGCCACGUCUGGUUAUCUACGACGCCUCCACCGCCCGAUGCAGAGGCUGACUUACUGCAGGCUCUCAGCGUACAGUCGGAAAGGGAAGGAAAAACAAAGCCACGUACGAGCUGAAUGCUUUUUACAAAGGUUGCCUCAGAGUAGCACAUCAAUUGUGACAACGCCAUGGUCCAACUGCGCAUGUAAUUGAAACAAUCGAUUGCAAUUUCAUAAACACAAAUGUGCAUAAAGCACAGGAGCGGUAAAGUGAGCUUCUUUUGGUUGACUGAUCAGAAACGCACGCCUAUCAAUCUCCCUGUCUCCCCCCCAAAGGCUUGUUUAUUGUUUUCCCAUUGAAUGCAGAAUAGGGAGGCAUCGCAGGUCCUCUGUCAUCUCCACCAUGGGCAGUCUCCGACUCACGAUCGCUUAUCUGGCUUUAACAGAACCAAGCGUCUUUUAAUACGGGCUCAAAAUAUGUCCCGAAUGGCUUGCUGGAUUGAAACCAUCACGGGGGAAAAUGCCGCUGAGCACCUGGACGUGGGCCGUGCGAGACCACCAGACGUGAGCAACAAGCCCGUGCACGAGCACUUCACAAAUGUCCCAUAAAAACGCUAAACGCUAACAUGCGUGAGCAUUCUGUCCAUCUGUGGAAACCCUCCCAGCUCCUGCAGCAGUCGGUCGGCAUGGACUUGUUUGUCUUCCUGGCUUUUCUCAGUAUUUGACUCUCCUCUGCUAAACCCAUGCGUCUGUUUUUCUCUUUCUCCCCCUGUGCUUCCUGGUGUUAAAUUAGAUGGGAAUAGCUAAUGAGAACAUUUCAUGCCAGAAGCAUUAGUUACAAUGAUAAUUAAUGUCCAUUGUCUUUUGGAUCAGCUGAAUAUUAGGCAUGAAGCGGAAUUAUCUCCCUGUAUCAAAUCACAUUAAUCAACAUUUGGAGCCACCUGCUAAUCACACUAAUGUGCUCCCUAUCCUGAAAAUUGGAAAAAGUAGCAGCAUGACUGCAUAAGAUGCUCCUGUAAUCAAACGUGAUGGAGCCGCGUGUGCAAAGCUGAUUCCUGAACAAAGGAAGAUUUGUCAACAGAGGAAGAGGAGCUGAAUGAAGCCCGAACUGUUUGUGUUGUUAUGGUUUUGAAGCAGUUUUUCUAUUGGUUUAUUAUGAAAAUCAGUUUCAACCCCAUUUUCUCCAUCUAUUGAGUGCUGCAGGCCCAGUGACGGUCCUGUACUGUAACACUGCUCCGGCCUGCGGUUAACUGGUCGACCGGGCUCCUGUGAUGUGGACAGGUAUCAGCCACGAACAAGCUAAAUGUAAACAUCUUGUGUUCUGCUGCUGGAACCUGAGACUCGGAGAGCGACGACCUCUUUCUGUACCAACCUUCACGCUCGGCAAUCACACGGGAAGAAAUCCAUUACAGAUGGAGAGGAAGCGUUUGAGUAAUGGGUGCAUCUCACCCUUUCCGUGACCUGAAAAAAUUCUCACUUUAUUACUUUUACUCUUUUAUUUUCACUCCUCUCAACCACUUAGAUUGAAUAAAAGUUCUGCUCUGUUCUCGGGCCGCGUCGGAGCUCAUAGUGGAACGUAUCAAAUAAAUCCAGCAGACAAUAAGAGGGCGAUGGGAGAAGAUGGGGUACAUGACCUGGCAUGAAACCAUGCACUAAAAGGCUCAGAAUUAGAUACAUUACUGUACCUUGUGUCUGAUUCUCAUAUUUCGGCUGGUCGCGUGACCGUCGGCGGCGGCGGCGGUGGAUUCUUGAACUGCUGCCACUUCUCCCCACCAGCAGGAAUCCUCCCAGAUUCCACUCGGCUCCAGGACCCUGAUUAAAAAAGCCAAAUGUCAGCCAAAGCACACUCUGCAGCUGCUAGCAGAUUUACAGCACUUUUAUUCUAUUUGCGUUACAGCAUGUUAUCGGGCGGAUUAAAGUGAAUUGAUGUGUGAUGUACUGUAGGUAACGAUGCUGAGCCAGAGGCUUCAUUGUAUAUCACAGAAUCCCAGGUUGUGGCUGAGGACAGUGUUUGCGCUGUGACGUGGGAGUAAUAAUAGAGGAUUUGGAGGAACAGCAGUAUUAUUUUGGACUUAUUGAUUUUUUUGACUGCCACUGGCAAUGUCAGACAAGUAAGACAGGAGUUUCACCCCUGACUGUGUUUGUUUUUUUUGCAGAAAGUAUUAGAGCUUCUCCAGCAGCCUUAAUGGCACACUCGCUCAGACUCUGUUCUCUGGUAAUACUUUUAGAUAUUUUAGGCUAACUUCAGACCUCGGCUGCUUUCAUUGCCCACCGGCUGUGUUUUGUUGCCAGUUCAAUUUACAUGUCAUGCAUCUGGUACACAUUCUGACAAGUAUAAAAAUUGCAUGGCUCUGUCAAAACCUGGGGCUUUGCACUGGAAAGCUUGGCGAGGAGCUCUCCUAAUUUCUCUUCCUUAUCCAAUCCCUCCCCUUUCUGGAUCACUGCACACGUACGGCGGUGCAUUAAGAACCAGUGCCCACUCACAGGCCCCUGGUGCCUUUUCUCCUCCUUUUUCUUUAUCUGAUCUCUGGAAUAAUCCAUGCAAAUUUCCACCAUUGCACCGUGCCCCCUGUCCCAUUUUAAGUUGACAACCUUUAAAAAAUAUCGUCUCACUGACUUUUACUACAGCACAAUUUAAGAGAGCGAUAACUGUACACACUGUCCAGUAGACUUUUAUUGCACCUAAUUGUUUUUGCUUGUGUGCUACAGCAAGUUAUACAUAAAGCAGUGAGAUGUUGCCAUUCUAGCUGCAUGCGAAGCCGUGCUCAGGCACACGCUCACAGAGCCACCGCUGCAGCCUCUUAGUCCUCUUUAAAUAUUACUAGUCAGCCUUGGAUUCCUGUUUACACAGGAACAUCGCCCAUAAAAUAUCAAUGAACUAUUACUUUCAAAUAUCCUUGAUCAUGUGAAAACUGCAGCAGUAAAUUAGCCGGCAUCAGCACUUCCACUCAGUGUCAGACCGAGAGGCUGCAAAAUACAUCAUCGCAGAGCUUCAAUGGGCCGUAGGCUGAAUUACAGGGUUUCUCCUCAGCUCCUUCUCUGGCCGGAGCGGAGGCUUCUGCUGAGGUCAUGAACUGCACAGCAACAGUCGCUUGCAUAUCUUGUGCUUACGGUAAAGCUAAUCAGCCUGUAAUCACCCUAAGAGCCUGUCGAGCCGUUGAGCGAGCGCUGCGGGGGCUACCGGUCUCAUCGAUGUGACCGCGCGGCUGACGGACGUCUCGUUCCCUCACGUGUGCGCGACUUCGUCGGAACCUGCUGACUCAGACGUGAUCCACGUGAUGCUGCGCUCCGGGUCCUGAUCAGCGUGGACUAGGUGGAGUGAGAACAUGUCAGAUAGAUGAAGAUUAUAAGUAACUGUAGAUAGAUGCUACCUAAGGACCUGGUCUUGUUGUUUCUGCCAUUGAACCUCCCCGUUUCCGCCGCAUGUCCUCCCACUUCUUCUCAAUCGCAGAGUUGAGUUCCUAAACGCCCGUCCUAUGGAUUUCACAUCCGUCAAGUCUGUGAGUUGUUUUCGGUGUUCGGUGCCAAAUGGACGAACAACAUGAGCUAGUUUGAUGAACAGACUGAUAAGUCAGGCAUGAGUGACUCAUUUGUCCCAGAAGACUAGACAGCAUUAUGCUAACUGCUCAUUUGGCAGAGUCAGCUCAAUUGUGCUGCAAUGCAUUCUGUUGUUAUUCUCUGUAAACAUGUUAUCUCUUUAUUCCAGAGCUGCCGCUGUUUUGUGGAAGUAAACAGUUGUCCUGGAGCCUAUUAAAAUGCUCCGCAGCAAAAUGCAGUGAGUCAUUGUCAAGGUGUAUUUACUCUUCGUUUGUUGGAGAGAUAAAGCCAAAUUUUAAUAUCUGAAGUUUUAAAUACUCUUGUCGAGGCAGUAAAUAUUAAUGAGUAGAAAAACUGUGCGCAGCCUAUGUGCAGCUGUGGCAUUGUCCAUUAAAAUCACCCCAGAGACUAUUACAAUUUUGGUAAAUGAUGGAGUUUUUGUAAUGGAUUUAGGUUUUCUGUUGUGUGAAUGUAAACCAGCGCAGCGCGGACCCCAGCAACUUUAGUUAAUGAGGAGUUUCCAUACUGUGUUUGCAUGGGGUUAAAAGCUCCCAGCUUUAGGGAGUCGGGCUGCACGUUUGGCACAAGCGCAACGCAAACGGAGUUUACUCGAUGUCAACAGAGGCCUGCGGUGCUGCUGGGACCGGGCUCUUUUUAAAAUUACUCCUUACCGCCAAUUUUUCCUCCAUUACGCUGACAGAUUUACUCUGGUGAUUUAAUUCAGUCAAUUGGAAAGAGCAAUAAGAUCUACUCCAGCCAUGGGACAAAGGUCUGCAUCAUUCCUCUGCGCUAAGUCGACCAAAACAAUUAUACAAAUGACCUUUGAACACAUUAACUUAUUUACUUCAUUAGGUUAAGUGGCUCCUUGGAGCCACACGGCCGAAUAAUCUCCUCUUGCCUGACUUGGCCACUUCGGCAACGAGCUUCAUUUAAAGAAGACGCAUACGUGGAAAGGUCAAAAGUCAUCCAAUCGCAUAUAUCUGUCGCUCCAGUUGCCUUCAUUUGAAUACAGUCGCUGUGAAAUCUUACCUCGAUGUCAGCAAAAGCUUUUUAUUGUGAGACUCCAGCGAUGGAAAGGGGGAGUGCAGCAUUUUGGUGGAAAGUGGUUGGGAGUGAAUAUAGACUGUCACUGCUGGGAGAGCAAAAAGGCAACGAAAUGAGAGAAAACAGGUACAUCUCCCCCAGGUCUAUAAUCCUGAGAUUACUGUUUGCUCUGGGGCCUGUCUGACUGCACUCUGGGCCGCCUGUGCUUCACUUCUAAUCUCCUCGGCCCCAGCUGUCCAAGAAUUGAUUUGAAGAUUCUCUGAAUCAAUUACUCUCCUGUCCAAGGUCUCAUUGCCUGAGAGAUACACUCACAAAUGUACACACACACACGUGCAACACGAGCAAAACAAAUGCAGGGGGAAACAGACACACAACCCAUUCAUCUCUGUGCAGUAAAGUCUCACGUGCAGAGGCUAAUUGUGCCUUGAAUCACACCUUGUACGUCUCUGUGGUGCAUUAUGGGUAGGUAGCCUCUAACUGCUCUCAAAUCAGCUUCAUUGCUGAUUAAUUUGUCUGCUUUGUCCAU